UUGAUCCUGGCUCAGAAUCAACGCUGGCGGCGUGCCUCAGACAUGCAAGUCGAACGCGAAAGGCCCCUUCGGGGGCCGAGUAGAGUGGCGCACGGGUGAUUAACACGUAGGUAAUCUACCUCUGGGUGGGGAAUAACAGCCGGAAACGGUUGCUAAUACCGCAUAACGCAGCGGCACCACAUGGUGACAGUUGUUAAAGUGGGGGAACUUCGGUCCUCGCGCCUGGAGAGGAGCCUGCGGCGGAUUAGCUAGUUGGUAGGGUAACGGCCUACCAAGGCGACGAUCCGUAGCCGGCCUGAUAGGGCGGUCGGCCACACUGGCACUGACAUACGGGCCAGACUCCUACGGGUGGCAGCAGUCGGGAAUUUUGGGCAAUGGGCGAAAGCCUGACCCAGCAACUCCGCGUGAAGGAUGAAGUUUUUCGGAAUGUAAACUUCACAAGAAUGGGAUGAAUAAGUCUGGGCUAAUACCCCUGACGAUGACGGUACCAUUUGUAAGCUCCGGCUAACUCCGUGCCAGCAGCCGCGGUAAUAAGGGCGU
Molecule: ribosomal RNA, 540 nt
Filed under: uncultured Acidobacteriota bacterium
Lineage: Bacteria; Pseudomonadati; Acidobacteriota
Description: bacterial SSU rRNA
Rfam family: Bacterial small subunit ribosomal RNA
Source: RNAcentral